GGCGUCUUGAUCGAGUGGUCUAUGGUAGCGGUCUUGAAAACCGCCGGCUCGCAAGGGUCCUAGGGUUCGAAUCCCUAAGGCGCCUCCA
RNAcentral lists this transfer RNA (88 nucleotides) under compost metagenome. RNAcentral describes it as "tRNA-Ser". It matches the Rfam family "tRNA". Rfam says of the family: Transfer RNA (tRNA) molecules are approximately 80 nucleotides in length. Their secondary structure includes four short double-helical elements and three loops (D, anti-codon, and T loops). Further hydrogen bonds mediate the characteristic L-shaped molecular structure. tRNAs have two regions of fundamental functional importance: the anti-codon, which is responsible for specific mRNA codon recognition, and the 3' end, to which the tRNAs corresponding amino acid is attached (by aminoacyl-tRNA synthetases). tRNAs cope with the degeneracy of the genetic code in two manners: having more than one tRNA (with a specific anti-codon) for a particular amino acid; and 'wobble' base-pairing, i.e. permitting non-standard base-pairing at the 3rd anti-codon position. The record is from RNAcentral.